Molecule: long non-coding RNA, 410 nt
Organism: Grammomys surdaster
Lineage: Eukaryota; Metazoa; Chordata; Mammalia; Rodentia; Muridae
Exons: 3
Source: RefSeq, a predicted model, not a curated record
GAUCCUGGGCCCUGUUCUAGGUCCUGAGUUGCAAGUUGCCUUCAGGGCAAAUUAGCACUUGUGCUAGGGUGGAAAUCAUUCAAGCUCUGUGAACUUCAGCCUCGUCACAUUUAGGACCUCUAAACUACAAGGCUUGUUUACUGCACGUGGAAUCACCAAAAGAUCUGUCUCCAGUCAAUAAGUUGAAGAAUUGAAUGGACACGUCAUCCCAGCUUCUGCUGAGCUUGUGCCUGAAUAGAUAUCAGACAAGAAAAACAUCAUGCAAACUCAGAUUUGUGUUGGAACCUCAAUGUCGUGUUGAAAACGCCUCAAUGUCCACCUAUCCUCAUUAAUCUAUUAAUUUCAUGUAACCAGAGUGCUGUCCUGGGUUUCUGUGGGAGUCAAAAGUAUAUCUGGCCCAUCUACUGCCC